Molecule: ribosomal RNA, 411 nt
Filed under: Triticum aestivum (bread wheat)
Lineage: Eukaryota; Viridiplantae; Streptophyta; Magnoliopsida; Poales; Poaceae
Description: partial small subunit ribosomal RNA
Source: RNAcentral
AUGGACGCGUUGCUUAGGCGGCAGCAGGAGCUCGUGAUUCAGCUCCGAGCGCUCGUCCUUCCGGCGCUUCGAGACGCCGACAGCAGGUCAGCCGACCUCGCCGUUGACCUCUUCGAUGACAUGAUCGACUGCAUCACCGGCGUUAUCUCUAGGCUCCAGAGCAUCACUACUGCAGGCGGUGAACCAGCGGUGGCCUUCAUCCUCGGCAACAAUAUCUCCAACGGCGCCGACGAGGGACAAGAGAAGAAGCCCGUGAUCAGCAACGCUGGUCAGAAGAGAAGGAGGAACAACGAAAAGCGAUCAAGAUCACUUGUGACAAUUGUUCCACAUUAUGAUGGCCGUCAUUGGAGAAAAUAUGGGCAGAAGAACAUCAAAGGGAGGCAACAUGCUAGGUAUCUAUACUUCUCCUAA